This 293-nucleotide long non-coding RNA is filed under the name Mytilus galloprovincialis (Mediterranean mussel). Lineage: Eukaryota; Metazoa; Mollusca; Bivalvia; Mytilida; Mytilidae. The record is from RNAcentral.
GAUCACCCCGAUCAGGGGCGUAGCUGAGUUGAAAUAAAGUGCAAGCAUAUAUCGCCGAGCGGAGCGAGGCGAAAAUUUUUUGAGCCGAGCAAAGCGAGGCGAAAUUAUUUUUUGGACUAUUUUAUGAUGAAAAUGAUAAAUACCCUAUCUGUUUCUUACUAUACCAUAUUUCAAGAAACGAUAGUAACAUCCUAGUGGGUUUCGUAAUUUGGAAACCCGGGAACAGAUAAGACACAAAAUGACAAGCAAAAACUUUCAAAAUUGAAAACUAACUACAGAUGAAAAACACGGAC